UGCGUUGCUUUAACUUAGAUCUGUGAUAUCUCUAGAUUAAUAGUUGGCAUGCCAUACGAAGGAAAGUAGUUGUGACCAGUUGGAGGUGCAAAAGGCAUUCUGACUCCUUGAUACUGAUGAUGAGAAGAGGCUUCUCAAAAUCCUUCUUCUGCCAAUGUGACCAUCUCUAACAAUAUACUCCAAUGAAAAUUUUUCAGCAGAUGAAUCCUUCACAGGUUUGCCUAGAGCAUUCCAUACUAGUUGUUUGGCUUCUUUUGAAAGAACGGAUAAAAAGGUUUAUUGGGUUAGGUUUUUAGACGGGUCGGAGUAUGAAUUUAAAAUGGGGAUGUUUUUUUUU
RNAcentral lists this long non-coding RNA (337 nucleotides) under Solanum tuberosum (potato). Its description in RNAcentral is "long non-coding RNA (STUB_LNC007118)". The record is from RNAcentral. Lineage: Eukaryota; Viridiplantae; Streptophyta; Magnoliopsida; Solanales; Solanaceae.